Prinia subflava (tawny-flanked prinia) is the source of this 1322-nucleotide long non-coding RNA. RefSeq lists it as uncharacterized. The record is from RefSeq and is a predicted model, not a curated record. Lineage: Eukaryota; Metazoa; Chordata; Aves; Passeriformes; Cisticolidae. The transcript is spliced from 3 exons.
CAGUCUCCAAUGUCUAUUUCCUAUUUCCAUCAAGACUAGCUGCAUCACUGAAGCCUGACUAAAACCUCUUAAGAUGCUGAUUCAUAAGAUAUGGGGAUAAGAAUUAAUUAAAGGUAUUGACUACACUUUGGCUCUACAUGUUCACAGCAUUUAAAUGAAUAAAGGAGAACCUGGAGCUAUGGGACUAUUCCUCUGCAGUCUGUCUGGGGUACCACAAGGAUUUCUUCUUUAUGAGCCCAUGAUUUGAAGACACCAUUUUCCUCUCCAGACUUUCUGUCCUUUUGAGGGUAUCUUGUCUUAGGUAAAGCAUUCCACAAAGGGUUUGAUGGGCACUGCAGUAUGACCUUGAAACUGCCACUUCCUGUGAGUUUCCUGGAGAUUUGGAAUGACUUCAAAAUCUGUGAAUCUGGAAUACUCAAAAAGACUGGUGAGGAAGAACCGUAACUUUCUAUUAUCAGAGUGACUGUUUGCAUCUUCUAGUCAAACUCUGCCAAAGUAUUUUUUAAGAAAUCACUAUCCUUGCAACCAUUCCUGCUAAAUAAAAGCCCCUUGCCAAGGACUUGGAAGAAUAUUACAUGGGGCGGAAACCUAGCUGCAACACAAAGUCUCUGUUUUGAUUUGCUCAGAGGUUGGGAUCCUCAGCUAUACAUGACAUGGAAGAAGAACAUCUUAACCUUCUUGCAUGAAGUAGAGAUAGGCAUAAUGCCAUUCAGCACCCGUUCAGACAUAGGAAAACCACUAAUUUCAAGAUGAAUACAGGAUCACAGGAAGGUCAGCUGUGGAAUAAGUUAUCCAGCAGACUACAUCCUACAGAAAUGUCUCCCAUAGAUUGUCGCUCCUCAGUACUUAUAGUUGUCAACUGUCUCUCUUGCACAGAAUGUAAUCCAUUGGCAAUGUCUUUAAAACAGCCAAUUUCCCCUCUACAUGGUGAAAGAAGCUUAUAAGAAAAAUCAACCCCUGGAUAAGUAUCUUAUCCAUUGCAUUUACUUUACCUUUGAAUGGAAGUAUCUUCAUUGACAUGAACAAGGAAAUUUUUCUUAGCCUUUAAGACAAUCCCACUACCUUUUGAAUUUUAAGAUGGAAUAAAAAUAUUUUUGAGAUUGUUCUUGAUUAUGAAAGACCUUAUAUGAGGAUAUAAACACAUCUGGUCUGUGGCACAUUAGCAUUCACAAGAAUUUUGCAAGAAUUGGAGAUAUGUGGUCCUGAUGUGUUUCCUUAUCAGAAUUCGUGAACCAGCAGCAUUUACUUUGGCUUCAGCAGAGUUAACACAAAAAUUUGUAAAAAGGAAAUGAAAAUCAGUUAAAUUAUUAUCAAACAUAGUA